RNAcentral lists this long non-coding RNA (1560 nucleotides) under Mus spicilegus (steppe mouse). RNAcentral's name for it is "lncRNA (ENSMSIG00000006049.1)". Lineage: Eukaryota; Metazoa; Chordata; Mammalia; Rodentia; Muridae. The record is from RNAcentral.
UGGGUUCCUGACUCCUUCUUUCUUUUUCUCCCAUACUCAUCCUGAUCCACCUUCCAGGAUCUUAAGCCACAGAGGGAGAAGGUCCUGAGUGGAGAAGAGACAUUGGUAUCUAAUUUUUCUUCUAGAUCUCUGCUCACAUCCCCUACACAGAGAGUUCUUCCCCAGUCACUGGGCAGAGUCCUGCUCCACCCCCAGUAUAAGAAGAUACUAACUAGCCUUAUCCUGCAUCUGCUUCCUGGACAAUGAGUUUACUUCGAGAACUACUGCUUACAUCUCCACUUGUUUCUUUUUGCUGCCCUUCAGUGGACUGUAGACUCUGCAGGCAAACGUCUUCUGAAAAUCAUCCUGUAGAGUCUUCCUGGCCCUGUGCUGAAGCUCACAAAGCUGCUGACCGUGUGGCAAUGGACAACCCUUUGAAAGUCUGCCCUUCAGCUGGCGCUUUGUACUCUGGGCUGGAGAACUCUGGACAGCACACCCCACCCUCACCUGAAGCACACAGAGGCACAGAGGGGGAUGUCUUGCUUGUGCUUCUAAACAUGGAAAUUCCACCAAGAACUUAAGGACAAGAACCUAUUACUUGAUGAAAUCAGGCCACUCUACAGAGUUGCAUACAAACCUGAUUGUGUUCAGAGAGAAAGGAGAUAGGCAGAUUCUGUCAAAUUGGAUUUAAAAUGUAUUAAAGGCUCUGAAUGUUUGAGGGAACCCUAGGGUGAUGCUGAGUGGGAAUCUUACAGAGAGAAAAAAAUGCAUGCUUGAAAAUUCUGCUUCGUUCACACAUCCAUUCACUUCAUCAUAAAGCAAACCCAUUGUGUGCUCAGCAGUGCUUCGGUGCUGAGUGAUAUGAAGACAAGUAAUAGGCAAGACUCUGCUUGUGUGUGUGUGUGUGUGUGUGUGUGUGUGUGUGUGUGUAGCUGGGAAUCCAACUCAAAGCCUUCUGCAUGACAAGUGAGUACUCCAUUCCAGGCACAGAGAUAAAGAGACAGCCCCCCCGCUGUGCUUUUUGAAGGUAGGGAAUGUGCUGAGAAGUAGACAAGACCCCUCCCAGAGUACCUGAAAUUAAAUCAGGCAUCUGUGUACAUGAGAACAUACAAGGGCCACCCUGCCCUAAUAUGGCAAUAAUAGUUUCCUCACCUUUCCAGGUCGGUUGCUGAGACCUACCUGAGCUGUGUCCCUCUUGCUCAGUUGGCAUUCCUCCCUCCCUGACCCUUCACAGUAACAAUAGCAGGAGAGGUUCACAGGGAAGGCUCUGGUGGAAGAGUUGGGGGACCACUUUGGUAUUAUGGGAUGGACAGUUAUUCUAAGUACACAGAGCAGGAAAAGCUAGCCUCCUCUCACUCCCCAGAAGUGGCAUGCCUUUCCUGUCCUCAUCUUCUUCUUCUGCCUUUCUUCCUGCUGCCUCCAACGUGUGGCUCCAGGAAAACCAAGUGUCUCUGAGGCCAAUUGUCCACAGUCAUGGAGAAAGCAUGCAAAGUGGCAUUUUCUCUGAAUUACAGCUGGUGCAGGAGAGACGGCUGCUUUACAUAUGUCAGCUUCACGAUGCCUGGGGAAGUGGCUGUGCUG